Molecule: ribosomal RNA, 1517 nt
Filed under: uncultured Bordetella sp.
Lineage: Bacteria; Pseudomonadati; Pseudomonadota; Betaproteobacteria; Burkholderiales; Alcaligenaceae
Description: partial 16S-23S ribosomal RNA intergenic spacer
Rfam family: Bacterial small subunit ribosomal RNA
Source: RNAcentral
AGUUUGAUCCUGGCUCAGAUUGAACGCUGGCGGGAUGCUUACACAUGCAAGUCGAACGGCAGCACGGACUUCGGUCUGGUGGCGAGAGUGGCGAACGGGUGAGUAAUGUAUCGGAACGUGCCUAGUAGCGGGGGAUAACUACGCGAAAGCGCUGCAGCUAAUACCGCAUACCGCCCUUCGGGGAAAGCGGGGGACCUUCGGGCCUCGCACUAUUAGAGCGGCCGAUAUCGGAUUAGCUAGUUGCGGGGUAACGGCUCACCAAGGCGACGAUCCGUAGCUGGUUUGAGAGGAUGACCAGCCACACUGGGACUGAGACACGGCCCAGACUCCGCAUGGAGGCAGCAGUGGGGAAUUUUGGACACAAUGGGGGAAACCCUGAUCCAGCCAUCCCGCGUGCGAUGAAGGCUCUCGGGUUGUAAAGCACUUUUGGCAGGGUGAAACGGCACGGGAUAAUACCCCGUGCAACUGACGGUACCUGCAGAAUAAGCACCGGCUAACUACGUGCCAGCAGCCGCGGUAAUACGCAGGGUGCAAGCGUUAAUCGGAAUUACUGGGCGUAAAGCGUGCGCAGGCGGUUCGGAAAGAAAGAUGUGAAAUCCCAGAGCUUAACUUUGGAACUGCAUUUAACUACCGAGCUAGAGUGUGUCAGAGGGAGGUGGAAUUCCGCGUGUAGCAGUGAAAUGCGUAGAUAUGCGGAGGAACACCGAUGGCGAAGGCAGCCUCCUGGGAUAACACUGACGCUCAUGCACGAAAGCGUGGGGAGCAAAACAGGAUUAGAUACCCUGGUAGUCCACGCCCUAAACGAUGUCAACUAGCUGUUGGGGCCUUCGGGCCUUGGUAGCGCAGCUAACGCGUGAAGUUGACCGCCUGGGGAGUACGGUCGCAAGAUUAAAAACUCAAAGGAAUUGACGGGACCCGCACAAGCGGUGGAUGAUGUGAUUAAUUCGAUGCAAUCGCGAGUACCCCCUUUCGUUACGUUAAUAACGUUUACGUCAUUUACCUUUGACAUGUCUGGAAUCCCGAAGAGAUUUGGGAGUGCUCGCAAGAGAACCGGAACACAGGUGCUGCAUGGCUGUCGUCAGCUCGUGUCGUGAGAUGUUGGGUUAAGUCCCGCAACGAGCGCGGCAACCUCUUUGUCAUUAGUUGCUACGAAAGGGCACUCUAUCGACUGCCGGUGACAAACCGAGGAAGGUGGGGAUGACGUCAAGUCCUCAUGGCCCUUAUGGGUAGGGGCUUCACACGUCAUACAAUGGUCGGGACAGAGGGUCGCCAACCCGCGAGGGGGAGCCAAUCCCAGAAACCCGAUCGUAGUCCGGAUCGCAGUCUGCAACUCGACUGCGUGAAGUCGGAAUCGCUAGUAAUCGCGGAUCAGCAUGUCGCGGUGAAUACGUUCCCGGGUCUUGUACACACCGCCCGUCACACCAUGGGAGUGGGUUUUACCAGAAGUAGUUAGCCUAACCGUAAGGAGGGCGAUUACCACGGUAGGAUUCAUGACUGGGGUGAAGUCGUAACAAGAA